RNAcentral lists this ribosomal RNA (299 nucleotides) under uncultured bacterium. RNAcentral's name for it is "partial 16S ribosomal RNA". It matches the Rfam family "Bacterial small subunit ribosomal RNA", at positions 28 to 322 of the family's 1533-position model. The record is from RNAcentral.
GAUGAACGCUAGCGGCAGGCUUAAUACAUGCAAGUCGAGGGGCAGCGGCGGGUAGCAAUACCUGGCGGCGACCGGCAAACGGGUGCGGAACACGUACAGAACCUUCCUUUAAGCGGGGGAUAGCCCAUAGAAAUGUGGAUUAAUACCCCAUAGUAAUAUUAGUUGGCAUCAAUUGAUAUUUAAAGAUUUAUCACUUAAAGAUGGCUGUGCGGCUGAUUAGGUAGUUGGUGUGGGAACGGCCCACCAAGCCAGCGAUCAGUAACUGGUGUGAGAGCACGGACCAGUCACACGGGCACUGA